GAUGAAGAACGUAGCGAAAUGCGAUAAGUAAUGUGAAUUGCAGAAUUCAGUGAAUCAUCGAAUCUUUGAACGCACAUUGCGCCCGCCAGUAUUCUGGCGGGCAUGCCUGUCUGAGCGUCAUUUCAACCCUCAUGCCCCUAGGGCGUGGUGUUGGGGAUCGGCCAAAGCCCGCGAGGGACGGCCGGCCCCUAAAUCUAGUGGCGGACCCGUCGUGGCCUCCUCUGCGAAGUAGUGAUAUUCCGCAUCGGAGAGCGAUGAGCCCUGCCGUUAAACCCCCAACUUUCCAAGGUUGACCUCAGAUCAGGUAGGAAUACCCGCUGAACUUAAGCAUAUCAAUAAGCGGAGGA
This 347-nucleotide unclassified non-coding RNA is filed under the name soil metagenome. Its description in RNAcentral is "partial contains 5.8S ribosomal RNA, internal transcribed spacer 2, and large subunit ribosomal RNA". The stretch from base 1 to 120 matches the Rfam family "5.8S ribosomal RNA", at positions 35 to 154 of the family's 154-position model. The record is from RNAcentral.